UUCAGGUCAAAUGCGCUGCGUAGGAUUCAGCUUUGCAGUGCUUGCAGCAUUACAAUGGGCUGUCUUAAGUACUGCCGAAGAGUUGUCAAAUAAAUCAGAGUGUGUGAGUUCAGGAUUUUUGCCGGAAUCGCUUCAAUGUGGUUCUUGUGGCGACUUGGGUAAAUUUGGAUUGUCAUCAUUGAAAGAAAGUUGUCUAGAUUGCUGCCACGGAGACUCCCUUGCCAAUACGUAUCACAGUGCAGUCAUCGAAGUAUGCAACUGAAAGUUGCCAAAAUUCCCCCAGCUGGACGCCUUUAUAAAGACAAAGCUGGACAGUAAAGCAUUUCCCCAGGUCAAAGUAAAGUACCUCCGAGGGAAGAUGCCUUUGCUGAAACUUCUUGAUGAGAGUGGAGGAGUUAUGGAUGAA
Symsagittifera roscoffensis is the source of this 406-nucleotide long non-coding RNA. RefSeq lists it as uncharacterized. Lineage: Eukaryota; Metazoa; Xenacoelomorpha; Acoela; Convolutidae. The transcript has 5 exons. The record is from RefSeq and is a predicted model, not a curated record.